This 488-nucleotide ribosomal RNA is filed under the name uncultured bacterium. RNAcentral describes it as "partial 16S ribosomal RNA". It matches the Rfam family "Bacterial small subunit ribosomal RNA", at positions 28 to 506 of the family's 1533-position model. The record is from RNAcentral.
GACGAACGCUGGCGGCGUGCUUAACACAUGCCAGUCGAACGGUGAAGGGACCAGCUUGCUGGUUCUGGAUGAGUGGCGAACGGGUGAGUAACACGUGAGUAACCUGCCCCCUUCUUCUGGAUAACCGCAUGAAAGUGUGGCUAAUACGGGAUAUUCUGGGUCUGUCGCAUGGCGGGCCCGGGAAAGAUAUUGCUUCGGUGGGGGAUGGGCUCGCGGCCUAUCAGCUUGUUGGUGGGGUGAUGGCCUACCAAGGCGGUGACGGGUAGCCGGCCUGAGAGGGUGGACGGUCACACUGGGACUGAGACACGGCCCAGACUCCUACGGGAGGCAGCAGUGGGGAAUAUUGCACAAUGGGCGCAAGCCUGAUGCAGCGACGCCGCGUGAGGGAUGGAGGCCUUCGGGUUGUAAACCUCUUUCGCCAGUGAAGCAGGCCUGCUCCUUGUGGGUGGGUUGACGGUAGCUGGAUAAGAAGCGCCGGCUAACUACGU